This 3031-nucleotide long non-coding RNA is filed under the name Marmota monax (woodchuck). Lineage: Eukaryota; Metazoa; Chordata; Mammalia; Rodentia; Sciuridae. The record is from RNAcentral.
CACCAAGUUGCUGAGGCUGGCAUUGAACUUCCUGCUCAAUCUCCUGAGUCACUAGGAUUGCAGUUGUGUGACACCACACCUGACUUACAAAAUUUUAAGACCUUUUUUUUUUGUUGUUGUUGUAGAUGGGCACAAUACCUUUAUUUUAUUUAUUAAUGUGGUUCUGAGGAUUGAACCCAUGCCUCACACAUACGAGACAAGUGUUUUACCACUGAGCCACAACCGCAGCCCACAAAAUUUUAUUAAGAUAAUUUACAUGCAGUAAAAUUCACUCCAGCCCCAAAACCCACUCUUUUAAAAUGUAUAAUUCUAAAAACACAGUUGAUUAGCCACUGAAAGACACUGAGUAGUUGCAUCACCCAACAAAAAUUCUAUGUUUUGUAAAUGACUCAUCUUGGGAAAAUAUUUUGAAAUGUGAGCCAGAAUAAAAGGGAAGAAAUGAAUUAUUUUAAAUUAUCUCCUCUGUUCAAGGAGAUUUAGACCUGACAUAGCACAUGAAUUUCAUCUCUUCUGCCAGCUCCAAAUGAUUGAUGGAUGGCUGGAGGGGAGGACUUUGUACAAGGUUCAGACAAAUUACCCCUAAGUGAUUUUGGAAAUGGCAGGGGAUACUGGGAAAAACAUGCCAUCCGUUUUUUAGAUUUAUUACUUUAUUUAUUUAUUUAUUUUUGGUAAUGGGGAUUGAACCCCCUGGGCCACAUCCCAAGUCUUUUUAAUUUUUAUUUUGAGACAGAGUCUUAGUAAGUUGUUACGGUUGGCUUUGGACUUGUAAUCCUCCUGUGUCAGCCUGCCAAGUUGCUGGGAUUACAGGUGUAAAUCCUGACCCUACCUAGUUUUUUAAGUAUAAAUUUUCAAAACAUGAACUAGGAUUCAGGACUUCCUAGUUUGUGACUGUAACUGGACCCAUGGGAAAAGACCCAUCCUACCUUGCAUGUUCAUGAGUGUCAUUACUCAGAAAUUUCUCCACCCCAUAUUAGAUGACAUCUUGGAAGAAGUUAGACAUAGGAGGUGACUUAGAAUUAGAAAACCACAAGGGGAAAGAUGGUGACAUGAAGACAAGUAUUCAUUGUCCAAUAAUUUCCUCUGCUCAACCCCCUCAAUCCUGAUGAAAAUGCCCUGCCCUGCGCUGCCCUGCCCUGCCCUUCACAUGCCAUGCCUACUUAAACUAGACUCGGGAGUUAUGAAAGAAAACUAAGGAAGCCCCUUGCUGGUGUCAGUGAAAAACUGAUUGGAUUCCCUCUUUUAUCCUUGGUCUCCCACAAACAAGUGUCCUUAUCUUCUCUGCUCUCCUGAGGCCAUCCCAGAAGCCCAGGGAGGCCAGCCUCCUUGAACUCCAGGCAAAGCAGAACCAAGCAACUGUUCAUAACUGAUUUCAGCACAUGGCCAGUGACCUGAAUGGGACCUGACCGUGGGGGAAAAUGAUACAGAACUAGAUGGGUUUUUAACAUUUUUAUUUUUAGUAUAUGUAGUCCUGUGAAAGUGAAAUGUUAUCUUUGAGCCAGGAACAUUGAAAAACACUGACAGGGAGCUGCUUUGGCCUGGCCCAUUUUUCUGAAGGCACAUUGCAGCUGUGGCCUCAGCCCAGCAGGCAAAGGCAUGUUGGGUCUGUACCCAGGUGCUGUUCAGAGCAGUAACAAGUCUCAUCCUCUGACUGCAGAGGGUCUGCAGGAAGACUGGGGCACCAUAAGAAACUUUGAACCUUAAAAACCCUGGAAACAGUAAAUGCAAGUUGUCAGGACUGUUUACUUCACAUUUCAGAUUGGAAAGUGAUCAAGACUUUGGAAACAUCAACAAGGAUCUGCAGGAUCUGGACCAGUCAGAUUAUAGACCAAUUUGUAAUUAUACUGUUGGUUCUAGAAUUCUACUUUGCUGGGGCAGAGUUGGGGGGGGUGACCUAGAAGAAAUGGUGUGGGUGGGUACUUUAUUUAAUUCACAGCCCUUAAGCAGUGAGUAGCCAUUCACACCAGCUCUUCUGAAUAGCAAGCUAUGGUCCUGAGAAAUAGCUAGAAGGCAGAGUACAGUAUUUGGCAGAAAUGCAGGAUAAAGAUGUUGGGGAGAUGAUGUCUUUUUUUUUUCUUCUGGUACUGAUCAAGCCCAGGGGCAUUUUCCUCUGAGCUAUAUCCCCAGCCCUUUUUAUUUUUUGAGACUGGGUCUCACUAAGUUGCUGAGGGUCCCACUUAAUUGCUGAAGCUAACCUUGAACUUGGGAUCUUUCCUCCUCAACCCCAGGAAGGAUUAUUGUGAGAUGAGAAAUGUGGAACACUAGUCUAGCCAGGGUCUGCCUGAGAAGAGUGCAAGAAGGUCAGCAUAGAUUGGUCUAGAAUAGGUGCCUGAGCAGAAGCCCCUGACCCUUGAUUUGGCAUUACCAGUUAAAAUACAAGAUGCCUGUUUUUAUUUGAAGGUCAGAUCAGCAAUGAAUCACUGGUUUUUAUAUUACAUGGAACAUACAUCAAAAAGUUCCUUUGGGGGGCCGGGGUUGUGGCUCAGUGGUAGAGUGCUCUCUGGGAUGGUAGAGUGAUUACUGGGUUCCAUCCUCAGCACCACAUAAAAAUAAAGAUAUUGUGUGUCCGCCUUAAACUAAAAAAUAAAUAUAUUAAGAAAAGGUUCCUUUGGGCUUGGGGUAUUUAGCUCAUUGUUAGAGCACAUGAUUCCCUGGUUUUCAAUCCCUAGCACCCUGCCAAAAAUUGUUGUUUAUCUAAAAUUCAGCUUUACCUGUUUGUCCUGUUUUUAUUUGCUAACUAAUUUAUAAAUUGUAUUUGUUAAUGAAUCUGCAAAUUUUAGUUUGACAUGCAUUCUGAAGUCUGGUAACAGGAUGGGAAAAACUUUAAUCAGAUAUUAAGAAAACUAUGAACAUAAACUGUUGACUUGAGUCUGAGCUGCUUCACACAGAAAGAUACUUAGUCGUGUUGCCAGUGAGGAAUAUUGGUUUUUCCUAUUUAUGGCGACUCUCCUAUGAUGUAAAACGUUUUUUGGUUCUGCAAUUUCCUCAGUAAGUAACAAUAUAUAAUACUACAUUAACCCAAACUCAGGCUAGC